Canis lupus familiaris (dog) is the source of this 104-nucleotide non-coding RNA. NCBI's taxonomy places the organism in Eukaryota, Metazoa, Chordata, Mammalia, Carnivora, Canidae. The record is from Rfam.
GUGCUCGCUUUGGCAGCACAUAUACUAAAAUUGGAAUGAUACAGAGAUUAGCAUGGCCCUCGCACAAGGAUGAUGUGCAAAUUCGUGAAGCAUUCCAUAUUAAA